GCUCCGGUGAAACAAGGAACGAAGCAGAGCAAAAAGGAAGAGGAGAAGCAAAAUUACUAUGUUAAUAUGGGCUAUGCGAUUAGGACUUUGAGAGAGGAGUUUCCCGAACUUUUUUAUAGGCAGCUCAGUUUUGUUAUCUACAGGUAUCCUCAAUUCACGGAAAUUCGACAGUUGACCGGGUCUGUGAAUUUUCGGCCAGACAGACCCGUUAUCGGAAAAGUCUCCGAAUUGGACCGAGGUUUUAGCUACCCCCCAUUGUCAGACGUCCCGAGCGCGUUCCCGAAGUCAGAAUCGGCAAAGGUAAACCCGAACCUUGCUUUUUCGUAAUUUUCUAGUGCUUAAAUAUGAUUAAAAAUUCAUAAAAUAUUUGUGGUAGCUCAGAAAAUUAUGAUUCUUUUUGCAAUAGCCUAUUAAUAUUGCUAAGGACUGCGGUGCAAAGUUUUAGAAUUUUUAGAGCUUGUUUGGGUAGUUUUUGCAAAAAUGAUCAAUUAUAAAGACUAAAUUGAAAUUUUACAUAUUGUAAUGGGUGACUGAUUUGAUGGGCCCAGGAGGGGCUUUGUGAUGUGCUUGAGUUGUAAAAAUAUGGAUUGUGAAUAUAGAAGUGUGUUUUGAGCCAUUUUGCAGGUUGGGUAGGUCCUAGGUAAAGGGGAGAAUCUGCCGGAUUUUCGGCACGACUUAGGACGUAUUUGGUCUUUUCUUGAUUGUAUUGAGUCAUUUGUAUUAAAUAAUUGUAAUGUAAUUGUCAGGUGAGCCGGGACAGCCUUCUUCCUCCGCCCAGCUGCCACAGUAACCGUUGUCAAGUCUGUGAGUAAAAUAUUAAUUUUAAUUGUAAUUUUACUAUUAUUAUAUGUUCAAGCAUUCCCAUGCAUCACUUAUAUGCAUAUAUCUAUGUAGAUAAACUUUAGGCACGAUUUAUGUUGUAUUCAUAACUGUGAAAGUGCCAUGUAUGUUGCUGUGGUAAUUUGGAGCAGUGUGUAUGCGUUGGCGUGCGUGUGAUGUGGUGUGUACUAUGGAUAGGACGGGUAGACACGGCUUGAGAUCUUCGCUGGGACCCGGUCCUUCGGGGUAGACACGGCUUAAGUUCUUCGCUGGGACCCCGAUUUGGUUAUUAAGUGGAAGUCCGAGCUGAGUUCUUCGCUGGCAUAGUUGGAAUUAAGAGAGCUGUAUAGGGGAUCAACUCCCAUAUAUAUUAUGAUUGAUGUUACUGGGUGUGUGAGUGCUCCAAAUUACCUUUUUGAUAUUAUGUGAAAAUGUUGUUGAUGUUGCAUUUCACUCUACAGGAUGCAUUAGUUUUAGAUAGUUAUAGAGAUUAUGGUUAAAAUUGAUAAUUUAUUCUCUGAGUCGAACGCUCACUCCUGUUCAAUAUUUUUUCAGGCCAAAGGAGGAUAUUUUUGAGAUUAACCUGCUUUCUUCCUCGCAGGUCGAUUAUUAACGUUUUUAUAAACUUGUUAAAUCUUAGAAUUUCCGCAUGUGUUAGAAAUGUUUAUUUGAUAUAGGUCUGUAAACUAAAUUAUUAUUUUGGACCUGUAAUCUUAAUACUCUAUGCAUGUUCGAUGGAUUGGAUGA
Molecule: RNA transcript, 1566 nt
Organism: Hevea brasiliensis (rubber tree)
Lineage: Eukaryota; Viridiplantae; Streptophyta; Magnoliopsida; Malpighiales; Euphorbiaceae
Exons: 2
Source: RefSeq, a predicted model, not a curated record